ACAGCGUGGGAGAGACAGAGAGGGAGGGAGACCCAGAGACAGGGAGGGAGAGACCAAGAGACAGGGAGUGAGAGCCAGAGCCAGGGAGGGAGACCCAGACACAGUAAGGGAGAGGAGAGACCGAGAGACAGGGCGAGAGAGCCAGGGAGGGAUAGACAGAGACAGGGAUGGAGACACACAGGGAGGGACAGGUGGAGACGGGUGGGGAGAGACAGGGAGGGACAGACCGAGGCAGGGAAGGAGAGACAGAAGUGGAGGAAUGGACAGAGACAGGGAGGGACUGAGCCGGGGGCGCAAGGCCUCGGACCCCUGCGCCCCGGGGCCCCGACCAGACUAGCGGGCGGAGGCAGAGGCGGUCUCGGGUCCCCUCUAGGCUCCGCGGGGGGCGGGCCUCCGUGGGGGGGGGCGGGGGGGCGGCCGGAGCUUGACCCGGGCUGCCCCCAGCUGACCCGAAGGGGGCCCGGGCGUGGCCGCGGGGGGAGCUGGGCGCAGAGGCGGCGACCCCGACCCGACCCGACCCGCCCGCCGCGGCCGUGGCAGGAGGUUGCGCGGCUCCAGGCCCGCGGUUCCCGGCGCUGCGAGCUCCGGCCACGGGCGCGCAGGUCGGCGUGGGCCCCGGGAGGCGUGAGGGGCCCCGGGGUGGCUGUGCGAGAGGCAUCUGGCCCUCGCGUGUGGGCGGCGGGUGCCCGGGAGGGACCGCGCGGGGGACAGCGGGCCUCGGGGGCCGCACGGAGGCACCCCGUGGCGAGCCGGGCCGACACCCACACCCUUUGGGCCGCCAGGGUGCGGGGCAGAGGGCUGCGCGGGGGGGGGGGGGGGGGGGGGGGGGAGGAGGGGCGGGACCUGUUGGCGGAGGGGGUGGCGGCGGGGCCUCCUCCAGGUCAGGCGGGGCCUCCUCCAGGUCAGGCCGGGCCUCCUCCAGGCGGCUCAGGGAGGGUGCGGGGCCCCUGCCCGGGGCCCAGGGAGGGUGCCGCGGAGACCCUGCGCGCGCGCUCAGAGGGGUUAGGGUGCAGGCACCGGUGGCUUGAGGGCCUGGGCUGCUGGGCCCCAGGAGCCCCCCCAAGGCCCUGGCUCUUCCUCCGCCCCCCGCCACCCUCCCCACUCCCCGCUCUCAGGUCCCUCCCUAAGUGCCCCAGCCUGGCCAGGGAGCCCGCCCCCCGCCCUGGUCCUAUCAGGUGA
RNAcentral lists this long non-coding RNA (1179 nucleotides) under Canis lupus familiaris (dog). RNAcentral's name for it is "lncRNA (ENSCAFG00040014689.1)". The record is from RNAcentral. Lineage: Eukaryota; Metazoa; Chordata; Mammalia; Carnivora; Canidae.